GUAAUUUACAAUUUUGGUCCUUAUGAUUUUUAAUGUAAUUAUCAGUGGCUUGUUUACAACUAUCUUGGAGAGGGGUGAUGAAAUGACUUUUCUCUGAUCCAAAGUCUACUGCCAAAGUUUAUAUGCUAUGUAAUAGUCAACACAAAUGUUCAAAGAAUCAAAUGCUAGGAGAAAAGACAAUUUCCGAAGACCAGUAUGCAAACACGGAAUAAGUAAGUGGCACUUGGUUUGCCUAAUUCAAUGAGAUUGAAUAGGAAUCGGAAUCCAAUUCCAUUCCAAUCCUUCUUUCGGAUGCAAGAUAUGAAACAAUAGAAAAGAUAUAUUCGGAAAUGCAAAAUAUGAGAGGAAAUGCAGAAAUAUGUUUAUAUUAUACUUUGAAAUC
Molecule: non-coding RNA, 382 nt
Organism: Lactuca sativa (garden lettuce)
Lineage: Eukaryota; Viridiplantae; Streptophyta; Magnoliopsida; Asterales; Asteraceae
Source: RefSeq, a predicted model, not a curated record